RNAcentral lists this ribosomal RNA (496 nucleotides) under uncultured bacterium. Its description in RNAcentral is "partial 16S ribosomal RNA". It matches the Rfam family "Bacterial small subunit ribosomal RNA", at positions 28 to 506 of the family's 1533-position model. The record is from RNAcentral.
GAUGAACGCUGGCGGCGUGCCUAAUACAUGCAAGUCGAGCGAACAGACGAGGAGCUUGCUCCUCUGACGUUAGCGGCGGACGGGUGAGUAACACGUGGAUAACCUACCUAUAAGACUGGGAUAACUUCGGGAAACCGGAGCUAAUACCGGAUAAUAUAUUGAACCGCAUGGUUCAAUAGUGAAAGACGGUUUUGCUGUCACUUAUAGAUGGAUCCGCGCCGCAUUAGCUAGUUGGUAAGGUAACGGCUUACCAAGGCAACGAUGCGUAGCCGACCUGAGAGGGUGAUCGGCCACACUGGAACUGAGACACGGUCCAGACUCCUACGGGAGGCAGCAGUAGGGAAUCUUCCGCAAUGGGCGAAAGCCUGACGGAGCAACGCCGCGUGAGUGAUGAAGGUCUUCGGAUCGUAAAACUCUGUUAUUAGGGAAGAACAAAUGUGUAAGUAACUAUGCACGUCUGGACGGUACCUAAUCAGAAAGCCACGGCAAACUACGU